Bubalus bubalis (water buffalo) is the source of this 1096-nucleotide long non-coding RNA. RefSeq lists it as uncharacterized. NCBI's taxonomy places the organism in Eukaryota, Metazoa, Chordata, Mammalia, Artiodactyla, Bovidae. The transcript has 3 exons. The record is from RefSeq and is a predicted model, not a curated record.
CCGACCCAGGGAUCGAACCCAGGUCUCCUGCAUCGCAGGCAGACGCUUUAACCUCUGAGCCACCAGGGAAGCCCUUUCUUUGGGAAAGUCUGCUCUAAUUGAUUUGUAAUAUUAUAUCAAGAAUAUUAACUUUGUUGUACUUGGCAAACAUUUUCCCUAGUUUUUCUUGUUUUGAUUAUGUUUCGACAUAAAGAUUUUUUCAUUCUUGUGUAAUCAAACAUUGCACAAUUCCUUUAUUUUUUUUUAUGUUCUUUUGCUUUCUUUCCUUUUAAGCUCUUUAUAUGUUUCCUUUUAUGUUCUUUUGCUUUCUUUUGUUUGGAAAGACCUUCCUUAUCUUAAGAUUGGCUUUUUUAUCUUCUAGUGGGCUGGGUUUUGAAGGAGGCAAGGGAUGUGGAUUGACCCAGAGGAAGACAAGGAAGGGAUUUAGGGACUCAAAGCAAAUGCAGUGAUGGAGUUGGUGCUGCCAGAAGCAGGCACUGGCAAAUAGAAAUUGGAUUGCAUCAGUCUAAAGACAAGCAGACAUGGAGGAAAAAACUAUAAGUUUGGGACCUUGAAGCCUGGGCUAUGAAGCUUGAUAUUGAUUUGUUAAACAGGAAAGAGACUCACGCCAACUUGUCUCAAAAGGGAAUCCCACAUGGGAAAAGGGCACUAUCUAAUGUAAAUUUACUAGAAGUUGCACAGAUGCAGGGACCCAGAAGAGCUAGGGUGCUGUUGCUGAAAUCCCGGCCCUAGGUGAUGACACAGUAAAUGGGCACGACUGGCUCAGCAGGCGGGAUAGAGGAGGCAGGUCCAGGAAAUGCAUCCACGGGGGAAAUAAAACGAAAACAGCGACAAGAAGAAACCCGGGAGUUUGCAACUUAAUAAGUACAAGAGGAGGAGACAUGCAAAAGACAGAGUUUAAACCGUCUCCUGUGUCUGGAGAAAGAGAUGCUUCUUGAUAUUCUCCUUUCCUGACGUUCUUCAUCUUCCCUGACUUCUAAAUACUGGGCUUUGUCCCUGGACAAGCACAUGGACAUUUCAAGUCUUUACUUAAAUAGUACCUCAUGUGAAAUGCCAGGAUGGAUGAAGUGCAAGCUGGAAUCAAGACUGCUGGGAG